UCAAACUUGGUCAUUUAGAGGAAGUAAAAGUCGUAACAAGGUCUCCGUUGGUGAACCAGCGGAGGGAUCAUUACCGAGUUUGCGAACUCCCAAAACCCCCUGUGAACGUACCUACACCCGUUGCUUCGGCGGUGCCGCCCCGGGCGCGGGCCUCCCCCCUCGGAGGCCGCCAGCCCCGGAACCAGGCGCCCGCCGGAGGACCCCAAAACCCUCACGCAUUAUCCAGCGUCCUCUGAGCCCCUCGCGCCCUCCGGGCGGGAAGGGGGAAAACGAAAAAUGAAUCAAAACUUUCAACAACGGAUCUCUUGGCUCUGGCAUCGAUGAAGAACGCAGC
RNAcentral lists this unclassified non-coding RNA (334 nucleotides) under uncultured fungus. Its description in RNAcentral is "partial contains small subunit ribosomal RNA, internal transcribed spacer 1, and 5.8S ribosomal RNA". The stretch from base 1 to 73 matches the Rfam family "Eukaryotic small subunit ribosomal RNA", at positions 1759 to 1831 of the family's 1831-position model. The record is from RNAcentral. Lineage: Eukaryota; Fungi.